RNAcentral lists this ribosomal RNA (291 nucleotides) under uncultured bacterium. RNAcentral's name for it is "partial 16S ribosomal RNA". It matches the Rfam family "Bacterial small subunit ribosomal RNA", at positions 334 to 642 of the family's 1533-position model. The record is from RNAcentral.
GUUCCCUACGGGGCGCAGCAGUGGGGAAUAUUGCACAAUGGGGGAAACCCUGAUGCAGCGACGCCGCGUGAGUGAAGAAGUAUUUCGGUAUGUAAAGCUCUAUCAGCAGGGAAGAAAAUGACGGUACCUGACUAAGAAGCCCCGGCUAACUACGUGCCAGCAGCCGCGGUAAUACGUAGGGGGCAAGCGUUAUCCGGAUUUACUGGGCGUAAAGGGAGCGUAGACGGCAGAGCAAGUCUGAAGUGAAAGCCCGCGGCCCAACUGCGGGACUGCUUUGGAACCUGCACGGCU